This 618-nucleotide long non-coding RNA is filed under the name Pan troglodytes (chimpanzee). RNAcentral describes it as "long non-coding RNA NONPTRT017634". Lineage: Eukaryota; Metazoa; Chordata; Mammalia; Primates; Hominidae. The record is from RNAcentral.
UCUGGGGUGAGUCUGAAAAGUCUGCAUUCUUAGCCCGGGAUUCAGAUGAUCAUUAGGUUUGGGAAUCUUAAAUAGAGUCUCCCUUCUCUCUUUUCACUGUUAGGGAGGGAGAGGGAGUGAUGUUUUUGAUGCUCUGUUACUUUAGCUGAAGGAUUUUCUAUCAGUCUUCACAAUCUGUCUUGAAAUGGUUCCCAUCAGCCACUUCGUGCAGGAAUCCAAGGGGCUAAGAAACAUACACACACACAUACACAUACACACACACACGGGCACACACACAGGCCCACUGUGCCCAGAGACCCACACGCGCAGCAGGCUGCCAGGAAACCAGGACUCAGGGCCCACCACAAUCUGGAAGGAACAUCAAGUCCCCAGGUAUAGCCACGGCGGCUCUUGGCCCAUGGUCUGGUGGCCAAGGAGGCAUCAGCUGCUGGUCACAGGUGGCAGGCCGCUUCCCAGAGGAUCUGCAGAGCCAUGGAGGCGUAGGCCACGGUGUGUACCACACGGCCCAGGAGGAAGACCAGGAAGUGCAUCCAGGCGACAAAAGGGUUAGGACCCAGAAAGGAGUAGACGAAGCCCAGGAAAAGGAAGGGGUAGAUGGUCUCCAUGUCGUUCCGGUGG